UGUGAGUUUUGUCACUUUAAAAUUUAUGCAACUGAAAAGGCCUAAAGAAAUUAUUGGCUGUAGAUAACUAUAUUUGGUGAUUUGGGAUGGUGAAGAGAAGGCUUAAUAGUUCACAUUCUGUUUGUAAUAUGUUUGUAGUAUUUACUGUACGUUGAACCCACACAAAGGUAGAAGAGCUGACAUAGCUGGAAGCCGCUUGGAUCCCACCACUGAAAUUAAGGCUUUUUGCUGGGAACAGGGUGUGUGCGGGCUGAAAAGCACUGAGGAGGAACUGAGGCCAUGGCUGAUCCAGGAGGGUGCCCAGAGCAGCUCUGCAGGCGAGGUUAGUGCCUUCGCUUCUCUGUCAUCACCAGUCCCUGAGAGCAAUCACCACCCACCAACAGUUCCUCAAGAUAAGACUGAGCCAGCUGGGAGAAGAAAGCCUUUGAUAUUUCGCUGCCUCGCUGAGUAAGUAUGCCAUAACAAUAAUACUUUGAACUUUUACAGCACCUUUUCAUACCAGGGUCUGAGUGCUCUACAAAUAUUCAUCCACUAAGCCUCAUACCACCUAUUGGAGGAAGAAACUUUUUAUUGAACUCCUUUUAUAGGCCAAAUCUUCCAAAGAGUUCAGCAUCCAUUUUGUCUACAUUAGAAAACUUUCUUGGUUUGCAUGAAGUACCUGUUAGUUUCUAGGUUUCCACUUUAGCCACCCAUGCCCAGCAUUGGUAAGGUCUGUACAACCUCUGCCCCAAACGGUUUAAGUCCUGGGCUUCUGCUGGUGUGCCCCCAUAAAGCUGAAGAUCUUGUAAACUGCUUAUCUCCUGCUUACAGCUCGCGGGAACCUUCGUGAGCUCCUGAUGAG
Molecule: long non-coding RNA, 841 nt
Filed under: Anser brachyrhynchus (Pink-footed goose)
Lineage: Eukaryota; Metazoa; Chordata; Aves; Anseriformes; Anatidae
Description: lncRNA (ENSABRG00000002804.1)
Source: RNAcentral